Molecule: ribosomal RNA, 995 nt
Filed under: Curvularia affinis
Lineage: Eukaryota; Fungi; Ascomycota; Dothideomycetes; Pleosporales; Pleosporaceae
Description: SSU rRNA
Rfam family: Eukaryotic small subunit ribosomal RNA
Source: RNAcentral
UUCUGUUGUAAUUAGCAAUUAUACCGUGAACUGCGAAUGGCUCAUUAAAUCAGUUAUCGUUUAUUUGAUAAUACCUUACUACUUGGAUAACCGUGGUAAUUCUAGAGCUAAUACAUGCUGAAAAUCCCGACUUCGGAAGGGAUGUGUUUAUUAGAUAAAAAACCAAUGCCCUUCGGGGCUCUUUGGUGAUUCAUGAUAACUUUACGGAUCGCAUAGCCUUGCGCUGGCGACGGUUCAUUCAAAUUUCUGCCCUAUCAACUUUCGAUGGUAAGGUAUUGGCUUACCAUGGUUUCAACGGGUAACGGGGAAUUAGGGUUCGAUUCCGGAGAGGGAGCCUGAGAAACGGCUACCACAUCCAAGGAAGGCAGCAGGCGCGCAAAUUACCCAAUCCCGACACGGGGAGGUAGUGACAAUAAAUACUGAUACAGGGCUCUUUUGGGUCUUGUAAUUGGAAUGAGUACAAUUUAAACCUCUUAACGAGGAACAAUUGGAGGGCAAGUCUGGUGCCAGCAGCCGCGGUAAUUCCAGCUCCAAUAGCGUAUAUUAAAGUUGUUGCAGUUAAAAAGCUCGUAGUUGAAACUUGGGCCUGGCUGGCGGGUCCGCCUCACCGCGUGCACUCGUCCGGCCGGGCCUUCCUUCUGAAGAACCUCAUGCCCUUCACUGGGCGUGUUGGGGAAUCAGGACUUUUACUUUGAAAAAAUUAGAGUGUUCAAAGCAGCCUUUGCUCGAAUACGUUAGCAUGGAAUAAUAAAAUAGGGCGUGCGUUUCUAUUUUGUUGGUUUCUAGAGACGCCGCAAUGAUUAACAGGAACAGUCGGGGGCAUCAGUAUUCAGUUGUCAGAGGUGAAAUUCUUGGAUUUACUGAAGACUAACUACUGCGAAAGCAUUUGCCAAGGAUGUUUUUCAUUAAUCAGUGACGAAAGUUAGGGGAUCGAAGACGAUCAGAAUACCGUCGUAGUCUUAACCGUAAACUAUGCCGGACUAGGGAUCGGGCGA